CUAAGUUUAUGACAUUUCGUAUCUUGAAACUAGAACAAUCUUAUUUGCUUCAAGUGCAUCACUUAAUACAUUAUAUCAUUGAUUAUGCUAUGUUCGUUAAAAUUCAAGCAUUUCCUACAGAAACUGCCACCGCGUUUGAAGGCCAUUCAUUGCUCGGCCCAUCGUUCUGGAGUUCCUCCGUCUCCCAAAGGAAACUUGCAUAUGCUCCAAGAACAUAGCUGUUUGUAGGAGAUGCUUCUAUUGCACUCUCGAAG
RNAcentral lists this unclassified non-coding RNA (254 nucleotides) under Hevea brasiliensis (rubber tree). Lineage: Eukaryota; Viridiplantae; Streptophyta; Magnoliopsida; Malpighiales; Euphorbiaceae. The record is from RNAcentral.